RNAcentral lists this long non-coding RNA (563 nucleotides) under Daucus carota (carrot). RNAcentral's name for it is "long non-coding RNA (DCAR_LNC004547)". The record is from RNAcentral. Lineage: Eukaryota; Viridiplantae; Streptophyta; Magnoliopsida; Apiales; Apiaceae.
UACACUACAAACAAAAAUAAAAUUUAUUCAUGAUUUAUACAACAUCAUACAAAUCGUUGAAUUACAUUUGUACACAGCUAAUGUCACAACCCCACAAGAGAGCAUCCCACAGCAGUAACAUAAAAAUCUCCAACAUGACAAAACACACUAAAGAAUAGUCAUCUCAACUCAAAAACAUGAAAUUUUUUACUGGAACAAGACUGCAAUCAGGAAAGCCAGAAUAACCGAUCCUCCGUAAAUCCGUAAAUCGGAAGCAUUUCCGGCAUCCAUAUCCGGUAACGGUGCAGUGGCGCUGUCCUGCGCCCCAACCAUAGAUAUAUUCAACAAUGCUGAAAAUAUUAGUAAUACAGUGACCAUGACAAAGUAAAGUUGAAAGGUACAAGUUUGUGCCAUGACUAAAAAUAAUACAGUAGUACUAAUUCAGUUUCAACGACUUUACAAAAAAUUUAGCUGCAGGACUAAGUACGUUUGAGCAAGUCAAGGACAAUUUAUAAGAAGCUGUUUGGUGUAGUAGGUGAUGAAUGUAGAUCAAAACUCUUGUUUCCCUGAGGCACCAACCAAAU